UACGUAGGGUGCGAGCGUUGCCCGGAUUUAUUGGGCGUAAAGGGCGCGUAGGCGGCCACGCACGUCCGUAGUGAAAUCGCCCGGCUCAACUGGGCGGGGUCGGCGGAUACGGCGUGGCUGGAGCAAGCUAGGGGGCAAUGGAAUUCCCGGUGUAGCAGUGAAAUGCGUAGAGAUCGUAAGGAAGACCAGUGGCGAAGGCGAGUUUCUGGACGGUAACUGACGCUGAGGCACGAAGGCCAGGGGAGCAAACGGG
Molecule: ribosomal RNA, 253 nt
Filed under: uncultured bacterium
Lineage: Bacteria
Description: partial 16S ribosomal RNA
Rfam family: Bacterial small subunit ribosomal RNA
Source: RNAcentral